Molecule: long non-coding RNA, 935 nt
Filed under: Homo sapiens (human)
Lineage: Eukaryota; Metazoa; Chordata; Mammalia; Primates; Hominidae
Description: HSALNT0256821
Source: RNAcentral
CUGGAAGGCACACUGUCCCAGAGGACAAAGGUUCUCUGGGCCAGAAGUCCCCAACCAGAUGAUCCAGCAACAGGAUGGAGGGUGCCCGGGGCAAGCACCAGCUCGUGUUGUCACCCUCACAGAGCCCCGGAAUCAAUGAAACUAGAAAUGUUACUGCAGAUGGAACCUCAGAUGACUUCAACCAGCACCUAUUAUCAAGGACCCCUAAACCAGCCUGCCGGCCCAUACCCGGACGUUGACACCCAAACCACCUCUCACGAGGAAACCUCAGCUACAGAACCCCUUCUAUGCCCCUAUUCAGCAGGAAGCAAUUAGAGUGGUCAUCCUCCCACACCCCAACAGCAGUUGGGCUCUCCUGUUGAGAGAGGGGACUGAGGGGUGGAGUUGGCAGGAUUUACUGGGCAGGUUUGGGGACUUUCACAGAAGACCCCUGUGACUCAGUGUUUUGAGUUCUUAACCAAUCGAGUGAAGGAUUCAGAAUUAACCACUCCAGGCCGGGCGCGGUGGCUCACGCCUGUAAUCCCAGCACUUUGGGAGGCCGAGGCGGGCGGAUCACGAGGUCAGGAGAUUGAGACCAUCCUGGCUAACCCGGUGAAACCCUGCCUCUACUAAAAAUACAAAAAAUUGGCCGGGUGUGGUGGCGGGCGCCUGUGGUCCCAGCUACUGGGGAGGCUGAGGCAGGAGAAUGGCGUGAACCCGGGAGGCAGAGCUUGAAGUGAGCCGAGAUCGUGCCAUUGCACUGCAGCCUGGGCGACAGAGCGAGACUCUGUCUCACUAAAAAAAAAAAAAAAAAAAAACAAAAAAAAAAAACACUCCAGAGGAGGAUUGAAAAAAGAACCACUCUCAAUGGACAAAAAGAAAGGGGAGGGGUAACAUAGGGAUAUGAGCCCUAGCCACCGGAGCCAGCAACGGCAACCCUUCCGGGUCCCCUUCCA